CUUCAGUAGUUUCUCGUUGCAUACCCCUACUCUACCCACCCCACUCUAGCCCUUUUAUAUAGACUUGGCCAUUGUGCUUGUUAAAGACUUCACAGAAUCUUGACAUCCCGACAACUCUUUUUAUUUCUCACUGAUCAAAAUAUUUUUAAUUUCUCGAUAUUUCUGAUAUUCAUUGUUUCUUGAUUUAUGGAUAAAGGAUGGGGUCCCACGACUCUCGCCCUUGAAAGUUCUGGGUUUUUUACUAACAAGCCAGUUUUUGGAUUUAAUUUAAGCCCAAGGAUGAAUCAAAGCCCUGGAUUUAUUGGUUUUUUCCCCCCUUUAUUAAAUAGACUGGUUUGCAACUUCUUACCGCAAACACUGGAAGUGAUCAAUCAACGGUAGACGAUGGGAUUUCAUCCGAUAUCGAAGAUAAGAAAGCAAAAAAGGAGGUGAGAAAAUGCAUGCUCUAUAGACAAAUUGUUGAAUAUUUAUUCAUUAGGUUUUGAUUUCUAAAUUCUCUUCUUCUUCUUUUUUCCCUUUUUCUCUCUCUAAUAGCUAGCAGAAUUACAAGUUGAACUCGAAAGAAUGAACGCCGAAAAUCACAAGUUAAAAGGGAUGCUUACUCAGGUCACCAACAAUUACAGUACNN
This 628-nucleotide long non-coding RNA is filed under the name Olea europaea subsp. europaea. The record is from RNAcentral. Lineage: Eukaryota; Viridiplantae; Streptophyta; Magnoliopsida; Lamiales; Oleaceae.